ACUCCUACGGGAGGCAGCAGUGGGGAAUUUUGCGCAAUGGGGGAAACCCUGACGCAGCAACGCCGCGUGAGUGAUGAAGGCCUUCGGGUCGUAAAGCUCUGUCAGUGGGGAAGAAGUGAUAAGGUGUUAAUACCACUUUAUCUUGACGGUACCCACAAAGGAAGCACCGGCUAACUCCGUGCCAGCAGCCGCGGUAAUACGGAGGGUGCAAGCGUUGUUCGGAUCUAUUGGGCGUAAAGCGCGUGUAGGCGGCUUCAUAAGUCUGAUGUGAAAGCCCUGGGCUCAACCUGGGAAGUGCAUUGGAUACUGUGAGACUUGAGUACGGGAGAGGGCAGUGGAAUUCCUAGUGUAGGAGUGAAAUCCGUAGAUAUUAGGAGGAACACCGGUGGCGAAGGCGGCCUUCUGGACGGAUACUGACGCUGAGACGCGAAAGCGUGGGGAGCAAACAGGAUUAGAUACCCUGGUAGUCCACGCUGUAAACGAUGGGCACUAGGUGUUCGGGGUAUUGACCCCCUGAGUGCCGCAGCUAACGCAUUAAGUGCCCCGCCUGGGGACUACGGCCGCAAGGUUAAAACUCAWAGGAAUUGACGG
Molecule: ribosomal RNA, 591 nt
Filed under: uncultured Geobacteraceae bacterium
Lineage: Bacteria; Pseudomonadati; Thermodesulfobacteriota; Desulfuromonadia; Geobacterales; Geobacteraceae
Description: bacterial SSU rRNA
Rfam family: Bacterial small subunit ribosomal RNA
Source: RNAcentral